GAUGAACGCUGGCGGCGUGCCUAAUACAUGCCAGUCGAGCGAACAGACGAGGAGCUUGCUCCUCUGACGUUAGCGGCGGACGGGUGAGUAACACGUGGAUAACCUACCUAUAAGACUGGGAUAACUUCGGGAAACCGGAGCUAAUACCGGAUAAUAUAUUGAACCGCAUGGUUCAAUAGUGAAAGACGGUUUCGCUGUCACUUAUAGAUGGAUCCGCGCCGCAUUAGCUAGUUGGUAAGGUAACGGCUUACCAAGGCAACGAUGCGUAGCCGACCUGAGAGGGUGAUCGGCCACACUGGAACUGAGACACGGUCCAGACUCCUACGGGAGGCAGCAGUAGGGAAUCUUCCGCAAUGGGCGAAAGCUUGACGGAGCAACGCCGCGUGAGUGAUGAAGGUCUUCGGAUCGUAAAACUCUGUUAUUAGGGAAGAACAAAUGUGUAAGUAACUAUGCACGUCUUGACGGUACCUAAUCAGAAAGCCACGGCUAACUACGUG
This 497-nucleotide ribosomal RNA is filed under the name uncultured bacterium. RNAcentral's name for it is "partial 16S ribosomal RNA". It matches the Rfam family "Bacterial small subunit ribosomal RNA", at positions 28 to 507 of the family's 1533-position model. The record is from RNAcentral.